UGAUUCUUCGGAUGAAGAUUUUUGUGACUGAGCGGCGGACGGGUGAGUAACGCGUGGGUAACCUGCCUCAUACAGGGGGAUAACAGUUAGAAAUGACUGCUAAUACCGCAUAAGACCACGGUACCGCAUGGUACAGUGGUAAAAACUCCGGUGGUAUGAGAUGGACCCGCGUCUGAUUAGCUGGUUGGUGAGAUAACAGCCCACCAAGGCGACGAUCAGUAGCCGACCUGAGAGGGUGACCGGCCACAUUGGGACUGAGACACGGCCCAGACUCC
This 275-nucleotide ribosomal RNA is filed under the name uncultured Lachnospiraceae bacterium. RNAcentral describes it as "partial 16S ribosomal RNA". It matches the Rfam family "Bacterial small subunit ribosomal RNA", at positions 70 to 339 of the family's 1533-position model. The record is from RNAcentral. Lineage: Bacteria; Bacillati; Bacillota; Clostridia; Lachnospirales; Lachnospiraceae.